This is a long non-coding RNA of Daphnia carinata, 2211 nucleotides long. RefSeq lists it as uncharacterized. The transcript has 7 exons. The record is from RefSeq and is a predicted model, not a curated record. Lineage: Eukaryota; Metazoa; Arthropoda; Branchiopoda; Diplostraca; Daphniidae.
CGUCACUGGUACAUUCAGCGCUCUAGUUCCAAGAUGGCGGACAAUAUGUUCAGAGCUUUAGAGUUCAGACACAUCUUUAAGCUUACGCCACGCUCUUGUUCAUCACCAUUUCACAUUUUCUUUGAACCAUUGUGUGAAGGUAAAUGAUAAGAUUCUAAGCUCUUCAUUCCAGGUUACUGACAAUCUGCAAGCUGAUCAACAAAGAUGUUUUGUUACUACAGAGCUUGAUUUGCUUGUUGCAACAAUUGAUAACAGAAAAUGACGAUGAGGAUGACGUUUUGGUGAAUGUGAUGCACUUGAAAGGUGACAGACAAUUAUGUCCCUGUAACUAGUAUGGCUUGGAAUUUAGUUUUUUUCCCCCGAUGGUUAGUACAUCUAUAGUUUCAAGAUAAUGAAUAGAUAGGCUACCUGUUCCAGGGAUUGAUAGUAGAAAGUGAUGGUGAGGUUUUGGGGAGAGCAACUUCCUUCAAAAGUUAUUUUAAAAAAUCAAGAAAGGUUUUCAUGGAACAACACGCUGGUGAACGACUGACGAACUUGUCAACAAGUAAAAAUAUUGGGUGCUACUAACGAAUGAGUUUGCACAGUCAAAAUGGGCUUGUAAAGAAUGGAUUGUUGAAGAAGACGAUGGACUGUGGUGCCUUGGCGCUAAACACACUGGUAGCCAGUAGAUGGCGUGAAAAUCCAAUGACUGAAAGGCUAAGAGAUGGCGUAGCAAGUCGGACGUGACCCUGAAAACCCAAUAGAUGGCGUAGCAAGCCGGACGUGACCCUGAAAACCCAAUAGAUGGCGUAGUAAGUCGGACGUCACCCUGAAAACCCAAUAGAUGGCGUUGCAAUUUGGACGUGAUCCUGAAAACCCAAUAGAUGGCGUUGCAAGUCUGACCUGAAGCCGUAGCGCUAUAAAUGGCGUUACGAGUGUGCCCUGAAUCCGUCACCCAACGGAUGACGUUGCAAGUCUGACCUGAAUCCGCCACCCAAUGGAUGACUUUGCAAGUCUGACCUGAAUCCGCCACCCAAUGGAUGACGUUGCAAGUCUGACCUGAAUCCGCCACCCAAUGGAUGACGUUGCAAGUCUGACCUGAAUCCGCCACCCAAUGGAUGACGUUGCAAGUCUGAUCUGAACCCGAAGCCCAAUGGAGUUUCAAGGCUGGCCUGUAGUCCGGCGCGGCGUUGCGUGCUGCCUUGAACCAAACUGAAAUUCUUGGCCUUCGAUGAAUUUUCGGGUUAGAUGAAGAAAAGUAGUGAAAUGGAAAAUGUUCUGCGGAAAUGUUGAAUGUUCAGAUUUGUAACAGCUGUGAGAUGGAUAAUUUCACUGUCACACAUCUUGUAAAAGAAAGUGACACCGCAUAUGUAAAUACCUUACAUAGGAAAAGUCAUCUGCGCUGUAGGAUACAACCCUUUGUCUGUCUUGUAGAUUUUUAGGUGCAGUUAGUUAAAUGCUGUGGUAAUGAUAACUUACGCUGGCUGCCUAACAUUCCUUAAGUUGAGUUUUAUACUAAUAGAAAUCUCAUGGUAACUAAAUGAAACACUAUUUCUUACGCCUACCAUAGUUUUGCAGAUACAUCUGAAAUGUCAAGUUUUGUUGAGGUCAUCAAUUGAUACAAUACCAACAAAUUUAUUUCACAGUCGUGAAAUGAGUAAUGGCUAACAUAUCAAUUAUACCAGAUAUGGUGGAACUGAUACUACAGUGACUGUUGGAAGGUGUUUCUGAGCAUCAUUUAUCCCUUAUGAAGUCAUGACCCUGUAUUGGCGUACCAAUUCAAUUGACAAUGUCUUAUAUGUGAAAAUAAUGGAUAAUUUUAACCAGUGGAUGUGUGCCCAAUGGUAUUACUUGAAAGUAAUUUGUAAUUUAUUUUUACAAGAACGGAUAACUGUAAAAUUUUUGCAUUAAUGCUUUUUGGCUUUGUAGGAAAUGUAAUUCCCUCAAACAUGUGUGAUCUACUGUAUAGGUAAUCAAAGCAAUUUUUCUUCAGAGUGCUGAAUUAAGUUCGUGUCAUGAAAAUGACUAUGGAAAAAUUUUUAAGUAACUUGAAUUGGUGAUUAACAUGGUACUUUUUUUAAGGAUUUUUUUUAGGAAUGUUUUCAACAAAGGCAAAAUAUUUUUCAAGGGGUUACCCUUGGUUAAUGUCACAUAGUAGACAGAAUAGGAAUUUAAUGUCACGUCAAUGGUACAUAACAGUAUUUUAGUUCUAAAAUGGCGGGCAAAAAUUUC